Molecule: long non-coding RNA, 1795 nt
Filed under: Homo sapiens (human)
Lineage: Eukaryota; Metazoa; Chordata; Mammalia; Primates; Hominidae
Description: non-protein coding lnc-CHN1-41:1
Source: RNAcentral
CAAGCUCGCUGUGUUCAGCCCAGCCGCAGUGCCAGCUGGCGAGCUUGCCAGAUCUUUCUCUAUCCCCCAUGCCACCUCCUCCUCUCACCUAAAAUGGGAGGAGAGGGGGAGGAAAUGCUGCAUUUUCCUCCUGUGCUGAAUUUAUCCCGACUCAGACCGGCUGCGGAAGCCAGGGAGAAGAUAAACAAAGAAGUCUUGUUAUAAUUUUUCAAAAAACUCCCAGUGCUCUGCAGCCCACUCCGUUUUCUUCCUACCUUGCUUAGGGUGGAACUCCGCCUGGCUUCUGCUGCUCUGUCCUGCAUCUGAAGGGUGACCUCCUUGCUGGAGACCCUCCUCCUCCGUGUGAGCCCCAGACCCUGGCUGCAGCUUUAUUUCACAGGUGGGGACUGAGCUCCGAGGCAGGUGCUUGGCAUUUUCUAACCAGUUAACACCCUUGCUGUGGCCAUCAGUUGGCCACUAGCUGCACCUGCCUCGCUGUAAACUGGAGAGCAAUGGCACAGGACUUUACCUCAUGCCCCCUUCCCUCCCUAUGGAGGCCCUAAGGAGAGAUACAGAAGGAACAACAGCCUGAGGAAGAAAGAGAAGUGAAGUGAAGGGCCUGGAUAUCCACCAAGCGGAAUUUGGUGCUUGGACCAAAGGAGCUGGGCGGUAGGGGCAGGAAAGGACAGCCUCAUGAGGGCCAGGCUGUUGUCUCGUUUAGUCUUCAUUGUAGUCCGCUGGUGAUAAAGAGAGCAAUCAGUAGCUUUCCUCCUGGAGAGUGUGGGCUCUGCAUCGGAAUUCAGGCAUCGUGGAUAUUUACACCUUGCCGUGGGGCACAGGCACAUGGUUGAGCUGGGCCAAUUAGAGACACACAGACUUAAGUGAGAUGCCAGAGCUGAGAGUGGCAGGAACAACGAGGGACCACCAUGGCAGGGGGCUGCAGGGGGUGGAACCCUGUGUCCUCAGUGGCCUUGGAGGUAGCUGUUCCCCUACGGUGGCCAGGCCCAGCACCAGCGGUACCCAUAGGGGACUGUGAUGUCCAGGAACCCACAGCAGGCGUCCCAGAGCCCUCCCGGCCCUAGGCUUCUGGUGUGGUUCUGCCCAUGAGCCUGGCUGCGCCAGAGCCCUCCUGCUGUUUUCCAAGCUCACGCUGCAGCCCUCGCUGACUCUGAGCCACCCCAUAGCCAUUCAAUACACUCCUUUUCCACUGAAAAGGCAGAUAGUGAGAAACGUUGAUCCAAUAAUAACAUGAAGUCCAUGAAAGCCUGUGGCUAUGAAGAAUGCUGAGCCAUUGAAUCCACCAGAGAUAGUAAAGGGGGCCUUGAAAUAUUCUGAGGCUUGUAGAAGGGUAAAGUAAAUACCUAAGGUAAUUGUGAUGGAUACUGCCUGCUGAAAACAGCCCUUGUUCGUUUCUGCUGCUUACAUCUGAGAGCUCCAGCUGAUUUCCCAGACCCCUGGGCUUUGAUUCCAGAGACUUCCACCCUGCUUAUCUCCAUAUGCUUUCCGCCUGUCUGAGGCCAGAGUAGACCCACUACACUUAGAUGAACCAAGCAUAUCACACAUCACAUAAGAAGGAUAAAAGCCUCCAAAUCUUGCACCAGCCUCUGCCCUCCUACCCUGACAGCCGCCACUUCUACCAGUGGGGGUUUUCCCACCAAUCAGGCGAGUAGGUUGAGGAGAAACCUGUUCUGUGGGCAAGUGAGGACUUCUGAAACAACAAGGCCACCAAUCAGGAUGAAACUUGAUGUCCUGAGAAGCCCCCACACAAGCCUCCUGCGUGGCUUCUGAUCGGUUUGAUUCUAGCCCUGCUGUUCUA